RNAcentral lists this ribosomal RNA (458 nucleotides) under uncultured bacterium. RNAcentral describes it as "bacterial SSU rRNA". It matches the Rfam family "Bacterial small subunit ribosomal RNA", at positions 264 to 739 of the family's 1533-position model. The record is from RNAcentral.
CUCACCAAGGCUAUGACGGAUAUCUGGUUUGAGAGGAUGAUCAGACACACUGGAACUGAGACACGGUCCAGACUCCUACGGGAGGCAGCAGUGAGGAAUAUUGCACAAUGGAGGAAACUCUGAUGCAGCAACGCCGCGUGGAGGAUGACGCAUUUCGGUGUGUAAACUCCUUUUAUUAGGGAAGAUAAUGACGGUACCUAAUGAAUAAGCACCGGCUAACUCCGUGCCAGCAGCCGCGGUAAUACGGAGGGUGCAAGCGUUACUCGGAAUCACUGGGCGUAAAGGGUGCGUAGGCUGGCUUUUAAGUCAGAUGUGAAAUCCAAUGGCUCAACCAUUGAACUGCAUUUGAAACUGAAAGCCUAGAGUUCAGAAGGGGCAGAUGGAAUUAGUGGUGUAGGGGUAAAAUCCGUAGAUAUCACUAGGAAUACCGAUUGCGAAGGCGAUCUACUGGAACAUUA